UGCCCAGCAACUCCUAUCCCUACCUCCUCGUGGUACUGGCCGGGGUACGAGUAACCUUAGGGAAGAUAAAGUAACAAACCCCGGAAGGAACUUUGGUCGUAUGCUGACAGGGAAGG
RNAcentral lists this ribozyme (116 nucleotides) under Aedes aegypti (yellow fever mosquito). RNAcentral's name for it is "drz-agam-1 ribozyme". It matches the Rfam family "drz-agam-1 ribozyme". The record is from Rfam by way of RNAcentral. Lineage: Eukaryota; Metazoa; Arthropoda; Insecta; Diptera; Culicidae.